RNAcentral lists this ribosomal RNA (402 nucleotides) under bacterium. RNAcentral describes it as "partial 16S ribosomal RNA". It matches the Rfam family "Bacterial small subunit ribosomal RNA", at positions 355 to 776 of the family's 1533-position model. The record is from RNAcentral.
UGGGGAAUUUUGCACAAUGGGGGAAACCCUGAUGCAGCGACGCCGCGUGAUUUAGAAGGCCUUCGGGUUGUAAAAAUCUUUUCUAUGGGAAGAAAAUGACAGUACCAUAGGAAUAAGGACCGGCUAAUUACGUGCCAGCAGCCGCGGUAAUACGUAAGGUCCGAGCGUUGUCCGGAAUCAUUGGGAGUAAAGGGUACGUAGGCGGGUAAGCAAGUUAGAAGUGAAAUCCUAUAGCUCAACUAUAGUAAGCUUUUAAAACUGCUCAUCUUGAGGUAUGGAAGGGAAAGUGGAAUUCCUAGUGUAGCGGUGAAAUGCGCAGAUAUUAGGAGGAAUACCGGUGGCGAAGGCGACUUUCUGGCCAUAACCUGACGCUGAGGUACGAAAGCGUGGGUAGCAAACAGG